This 709-nucleotide ribosomal RNA is filed under the name uncultured Providencia sp. Its description in RNAcentral is "bacterial SSU rRNA". It matches the Rfam family "Bacterial small subunit ribosomal RNA", at positions 793 to 1502 of the family's 1533-position model. Lineage: Bacteria; Pseudomonadati; Pseudomonadota; Gammaproteobacteria; Enterobacterales; Morganellaceae. The record is from RNAcentral.
AGUCACGCUGUAAACGAUGUCGAUUUGGAGGUUGUUCCCUUGAGGAGUGGCUUCCGGAGCUAACGCGUUAAAUCGACCGCUGGGGAGUACGGCCGCAAGGUUAAAACCCAAAUGAAUUGACGGGGGCCCGCACAAGCGGUGGAGCAUGUGGUUUAAUUCGAUGCAACGCGAAGAACCUUACCUACUCUUGACAUCCAGAGAAUUUAGCAGAGAUGCUUUAGUGCCUUCGGGAACUCUGAGACAGGUGCUGCAUGGCUGUCGUCAGCUCGUGUUGUGAAAUGUUGGGUUAAGUCCCGCAACGAGCGCAACCCUUAUCCUUUGUUGCCAGCACGUUAUGGUGGGAACUCAAAGGAGACUGCCGGUGAUAAACCGGAGGAAGGUGGGGAUGACGUCAAGUCAUCAUGGCCCUUACGAGUAGGGCUACACACGUGCUACAAUGGCGUAUACAAAGAGAAGCGACCUCGCGAGAGCAAGCGGAACUCAUAAAGUACGUCGUAGUCCGGAUUGGAGUCUGCAACUCGACUCCAUGAAGUCGGAAUCGCUAGUAAUCGUAGAUCAGAAUGCUACGGUGAAUACGUUCCCGGGCCUUGUACACACCGCCCGUCACACCAUGGGAGUGGGUUGCAAAAGAAGUAGGUAGCUUAACCUUCGGGAGGGCGCUUACCACUUUGUGAUUCAUGACUGGGGUGAAGUCGUAACAAGGUAACCA